UACGUAGGGGGCGAGCGUUGUCCGGAGUUACUGGGCGUAAAGCGCACGCAGGCGGUCUGCUAAGUUUGGAGUGACAGUUGGUGGCUUAACUGCCAAAGUGCUUCGAAAACUGACAGACUUGAGGGCUUCAGAGGGACACGGAAUUCCGGGUGGAGUGGUGAAAUGCGUAGAGAUCCGGAGGAAACCCCAAGGCCAAGGGAGUUUCCUGGGGAGUACCCGACGCUCAGGUGCGAAAGCCAGGGGAGCAAACGGG
This 253-nucleotide ribosomal RNA is filed under the name uncultured bacterium. RNAcentral describes it as "partial 16S ribosomal RNA". It matches the Rfam family "Bacterial small subunit ribosomal RNA", at positions 524 to 776 of the family's 1533-position model. The record is from RNAcentral.